Bos grunniens (domestic yak) is the source of this 106-nucleotide small nuclear RNA. Lineage: Eukaryota; Metazoa; Chordata; Mammalia; Artiodactyla; Bovidae. The record is from Ensembl.
GUGCUCGCUUCGGCAUCACAUAUACUAAAAUUGGAACGAUACAGAGAAGAUUAGCUGGCUCCUGUGCAAGGAUGACAUGCAAAUUUGUGAAGUGUUCCAUAUUUUU